GCGGAGGAAAAGAAAAUAACAAUGAUUUCCCUAGUAACGGCGAGUGAACAGGAAAGAGCUCAAAGUUGGAACCUGUUUGGUUUAGCCAAACCGGAUUGUAAACUGUAGAAGUGUUUUCCUGGCACGCCUGACGAAAAAGUCCAUUGGAACAUGGUGACAUAGAGGGUGAGAGCCCCGUAUUUUGUCAGAGCUGUUGUCUCUUGUGAUACACUUUCAAAGAGUCAGGUUGUUUGGGAAUGCAGCCUAAAUUGGGUGGUAAAUCUCACCUAAAGCUAAAUAUUGGCAAAAGACCGAUAGCGAACAAGUACCGUGAGGGAAAGAUGAAAAGAACUUUGAAAAGAGAGUUAAACAGUAUGUGAAAUUGUUAAAAGGGAACCGUUUGGAGCCAGACUGGCUUGAUUGUAAUCAAUCUAGAUUUCGAUCUGGAUGCACUUGCAGUCUAUGCCUGCCAACGACAAUUCAUUCUGGAGGAAAAAACUAAGUGGAAUGUGGCCCCUCGGGGUGUUAUAGACUCUUAGAAAAUACUCUGGUUUGGAUUGAGGAACGCAGUGAAUGCUAUUUGGCGAAGAUGCUGGGUGCUUUUAUUUUUGUUGUCUAGAAUUUCUGCUUCGGGUGGUGCUAGAUACCACGAGUAAAACUCGCCUAGUAUACUUUUUAUUCACUUAGGUUGUUGGCUUAAUGACUCUAAAUGAC
Molecule: ribosomal RNA, 693 nt
Filed under: Choanephora cucurbitarum
Lineage: Eukaryota; Fungi; Mucoromycota; Mucoromycetes; Mucorales; Choanephoraceae
Also listed under: 1 other name
Description: partial large subunit ribosomal RNA
Rfam family: Eukaryotic large subunit ribosomal RNA
Source: RNAcentral